UUAUGCCUACGGGAGGCAGCAGUGAGGAAUAUUGGUCAAUGGCCGGAAGGCUGAACCAGCCACGCCGCGUGAAGGACGAAGGUGCCAAGCAUUGUAAACUUCUUUUGUCAAGGGACAAAAUCAGGCUCGAGAGCCUGACCGAGGGUACUUGAAGAAAAAGCAUCGGCUAACUCCGUGCCAGCAGCCGCGGUAAUACGGAGGAUCCGAGCGUUAUCCGGAUUUAUUGGGUUUAAAGGGAGCGUAGAUGGGUUGUUAAGCCGGCGGUAAAAAUUCAGGGCUCAACCCUGUCGAGCCGUCGGAACUGG
RNAcentral lists this ribosomal RNA (305 nucleotides) under uncultured bacterium. Its description in RNAcentral is "bacterial SSU rRNA". It matches the Rfam family "Bacterial small subunit ribosomal RNA", at positions 333 to 636 of the family's 1533-position model. The record is from RNAcentral.